UACGUAGGUGGCAAGCGUUGUCCGGAUUUACUGGGCGUAAAGAGCGCGCAGGCGGUCGUUCAAGUCGCGUGUGAAAGCCCCCGGCUCAACUGGGGAGGGUCACGCGAUACUGAUUGACUCGAAGGCAGGAGAGGGUAGUGGAAUUCCCGGUGUAGUGGUGAAAUGCGCAGAUAUCAGGAGGAACACCGGUGGCGAAGGCGGGUCUCUGGGCCGAUACUGACGCUGAGGAGCGAAAGCGUGGGGAGCGAACAGG
This 253-nucleotide ribosomal RNA is filed under the name uncultured bacterium. RNAcentral describes it as "partial 16S ribosomal RNA". It matches the Rfam family "Bacterial small subunit ribosomal RNA", at positions 524 to 776 of the family's 1533-position model. The record is from RNAcentral.